RNAcentral lists this long non-coding RNA (616 nucleotides) under Cyanistes caeruleus (blue tit). RNAcentral describes it as "lncRNA (ENSCCEG00000014153.1)". The record is from RNAcentral. Lineage: Eukaryota; Metazoa; Chordata; Aves; Passeriformes; Paridae.
CCUGAUCCUUGGACUGGGCUGGGCAGGGAGGUAACACAGCUCAGAGCAGCCAAUCUGCUACCAAACACUCACCUGCUGCAUGGCAGGAAACAGGUCCUACCUUCAAUCUAUACACUGUAAAAUCAAGGUAAAUAGACUAAACCAGUUUCAAUAUGUUCCAAUGGGUAAUUGUGUGAUUUCCACAUAAAAGCACUACAGUUUCUCUCUGAAUCAACCUCUCUGGUGCUGCAAUGUUUUUAACCCUUUCCAAUGCACUGGAGGGCUAGGAAAUGUUGGUCUGCAGUGCCAUUAAGGCCAUACUACCAUAGAUAUCUAUAUUUAGCGCUCAUCAAAAACAAAGAGCUCAUUAAAAGGUUUUUAAUUAAGUUAGAAAUCUAUUAGAAUUUCCAAGUAAAUCCUUGAUUAGAUAUUGUCUUCCUUUGUCUUUAUUACUCUCAAAGAUGACCAAUAUUCUGUCUAGAGCACUUCAGUCCCAGGAGGAAUGUUCCCACACCUCUUGCUUGUAUCAGCACAUGGCACAUAUUGGAAAGCUGAAUAUCCACGUAAAUGUGUGAGGAGGGCAAGGUUUGAUCCCUGGCUCAUUAGGAAGGGAUUGGAUUGCACACACCUGAAAUAG